This 372-nucleotide ribosomal RNA is filed under the name uncultured bacterium. RNAcentral describes it as "bacterial SSU rRNA". It matches the Rfam family "Bacterial small subunit ribosomal RNA", at positions 524 to 898 of the family's 1533-position model. The record is from RNAcentral.
UACGGAGGAUCCGAGCGUUAUCCGGAUUUAUCGGGUUUAAAGGGUGCGCAGGCGGGAUGUUAAGUCGGCGGUGAAAUUUUGCAGCUCAACUGUAAAAGUGCCUUCGAUACUGGCUUUCUUGAGUGUGGAUGACGUAGGCGGAAUUUGUGGUGUAGCGGUGAAAUGCUUAGAUAUCACGAGGAACUCCGAUUGCGCAGGCAGCUUACUAAACCACUACUGACGCUCAUGCACGAAGGCGUGGGGAUCAAACAGGAUUAGAUACCCUGGUAGUCCACGCAGUAAACGAUGAUUACUAGUUGUUUGCGAUACAAUGUAAGCGACUGAGCGAAAGCGUUAAGUAAUCCACCUGGGGAGUACGUUCGCAAGAAUGAA